Molecule: non-coding RNA, 127 nt
Organism: Salvelinus sp. IW2-2015
Lineage: Eukaryota; Metazoa; Chordata; Actinopteri; Salmoniformes; Salmonidae
Source: RefSeq, a predicted model, not a curated record
CCACUCACUGCCUUUGAAGAAGAGUGGGAAGGAGCCAAAUGCUGGAGCUGAGCUUGUUCUGGGGGAGACAACCUACAGAACCAAGGUGUGUGAUCGUACCAACUCCCCCCAAUGGGAAGAGGCUUUC